RNAcentral lists this transfer RNA (58 nucleotides) under Loxodonta africana (African savanna elephant). It matches the Rfam family "tRNA", at positions 8 to 63 of the family's 71-position model. From Rfam's summary of the family: Transfer RNA (tRNA) molecules are approximately 80 nucleotides in length. Lineage: Eukaryota; Metazoa; Chordata; Mammalia; Proboscidea; Elephantidae. The record is from Rfam by way of RNAcentral.
UGGCAUAGUGGUUAAAGCACUUAGUUAUUAAUCAAAAGGUUGGUGGUUCGAAUCCACC